GACGAACGCUGGCGGCGUGCUUAACACAUGCAAGUCGAGCGGUAAGGCCCUUCGGGUACACGAGCGGCGAACGGGUGAGUAACACGUGGGUGACCUGCCUUUAGCUCUGGGAUAAGCCUGGGAAACUGGGUCUAAUACCGGAUAUGACCUCAUGACGCAUGUUGUGGGGUGGAAAGCCUUGUGCGGCUAGAGAUGGGCCCGCGGCCUAUCAGCUUGUUGGUGGGGUGAGGCCUACCAAGGCGACGACGGGUAGCCGGCCUGAGAGGGCGACCGGCCACACUGGGACUGAGACACGGCCCAGACUCCUACGGGAGGCAGCAGUGGGGAAUCUUGCGCAAUGGGCGAAAGCCUGACGCAGCGACGCCGCGUG
RNAcentral lists this ribosomal RNA (370 nucleotides) under uncultured bacterium. RNAcentral describes it as "bacterial SSU rRNA". It matches the Rfam family "Bacterial small subunit ribosomal RNA", at positions 28 to 403 of the family's 1533-position model. The record is from RNAcentral.